This 207-nucleotide ribosomal RNA is filed under the name uncultured bacterium. RNAcentral describes it as "partial 16S ribosomal RNA". It matches the Rfam family "Bacterial small subunit ribosomal RNA", at positions 568 to 774 of the family's 1533-position model. The record is from RNAcentral.
CGCGUAGGCGGGGAGGUAAGUCGGGUGUGAAAUCCCUCGGCCUAACCGAGGAACUGCGCCCGAGACUGCUUCUCUUGAGUCCCGGAGAGGAAGAUGGAAUUCCCGGUGUAGCGGUGAAAUGUGUAGAGAUCGGGAGGAACACCGGUGGCGAAGGCGGUCUUCUGGACGGUGACUGACGCUGAGGCGCGAAAGCGUGGGGAGCAAACG